AGUGAACGCUGGCGGUAGGCCUAACACAUGCAAGUCGAGCGGCAGCACGGUAAGCUCUCGCUUUUACGGGUGGCGAGGGACGGACGAGUGAGAAGUGGAUCGCAAACCACUAAUUCGGGGGUAACAACGGGAGGCAACUGACACUACUACCUCAUAUAUUCAACGGCAGGAAUCAGUGGUUCAACACACUUUUGCCGUCUGUUUGAGAUGGGGUCGGAUUAGCUAGUUGGCAGGGUAAGGGCCUACCAAGGCAACGAUCCGUAGCCGGUCUGAGAGGAUGAUCAGCCACACUGGAACUGAGACACGGUCCAGACUCCUACGGGAGGCAGCAGUAGGGAAUCUUCGACAAUGGGCGCAAGCCUGAUCCAGCCACGCCGCGUGGGUGAAGAAGGCCUUCGGGUUGUAAAGCCCUCUUGUUGGGAAAGAAAAGCAGCGGAUUAAUCCCCGGCCGUUCUGACGGUACCCAAACAGUAAGCACCGGCUAACUUCGUG
Molecule: ribosomal RNA, 492 nt
Filed under: uncultured bacterium
Lineage: Bacteria
Description: partial 16S ribosomal RNA
Rfam family: Bacterial small subunit ribosomal RNA
Source: RNAcentral